Molecule: ribosomal RNA, 467 nt
Filed under: uncultured bacterium
Lineage: Bacteria
Description: partial 16S ribosomal RNA
Rfam family: Bacterial small subunit ribosomal RNA
Source: RNAcentral
GACGAACGCUGGCGGCGUGCUUAACACAUGCAAGUCGAACGGAAAGGCCUCUUUCGGGGGGUACUCGAGUGGCGAACGGGUGAGUAACACGUGAGUAACCUGCCCUUGACUUUGGGAUAACUUCAGGAAACUGGGGCUAAUACCGGAUAGGAGCUCCUGCUGCAUGGUGGGGGUUGGAAAGUUUCGGCGGUUGGGGAUGGACUCGCGGCUUAUCAGCUUGUUGGUGGGGUAGUGGCUUACCAAGGCUUUGACGGGUAGCCGGCCUGAGAGGGUGACCGGCCAUAUGGGGACGGAGAAACGGCCCAGCCCCCGAGGGGGGGAGGAAGGGGGGAAUAUGGCACAAGGGGUGGAGGCCGUGUGCAGCAACGCCUGGGGGGGGAGGACGGCCUUGGGGUUGAAAACCGUUUUCGCCCAGGACGAAGCUUUGUGUGAGGGUGGUGGAUAAAGAAGCCCCGGCUAAUUACGUC